GCUGGGCAUGGACGUGCAUGCCUGUAAUCCCAGUGGCUUGGGAGGCUGAGGCAGGAGGAUUGCAAGUUCAAAGACAGCCUCAGCAAAAAGCAAGGCGCUGAAGCAACUCAGUGAGACCCUGUCUCUA
Molecule: small RNA, 127 nt
Filed under: Marmota monax (woodchuck)
Lineage: Eukaryota; Metazoa; Chordata; Mammalia; Rodentia; Sciuridae
Source: RNAcentral